Bombyx mori (domestic silkworm) is the source of this 414-nucleotide long non-coding RNA. RefSeq lists it as uncharacterized. The transcript is spliced from 2 exons. Lineage: Eukaryota; Metazoa; Arthropoda; Insecta; Lepidoptera; Bombycidae. The record is from RefSeq and is a predicted model, not a curated record.
GUGAACUUUUCAAGGUCGAAGUUUCAACACGAGAGUGUCUUGAAAAUCGUUUUCUAGUCUAAGUUCAUAUUAGUUCCAUAUUUUUUUGGAUCUUUCUUAAUUGGAGUAAUCAUCAUUAUAAGCGUGUGGUGCAAUGCAGGAUCUUCCUGAAAGCCUUCCUGAAUUCCGGGUUGAAGAUCGUGUAGAUGACCGGGUUGAGGAACGAGUUGAUGUACCCGAGCCACGUUGUCAGAAUGAAGACAGUCACUCCAGGGGAGAAAGGGAGAUCGAAUUUCGUACAGAGAGCGUCCAGGACGGAGCACGUGAAGAAUGGUGCCCAGCAGAAUAAGAAGACUCCUGGUAAAUCAUAAGGAUAUUUAGUACAAGCGGCCCGCUCCGGCUCCGCUCGGGUCUUUAACAAAAAUUUCAACGAUA